Non-coding RNA from Paramuricea clavata, 227 nucleotides. The record is from the annotation of a GenBank genome assembly. Lineage: Eukaryota; Metazoa; Cnidaria; Anthozoa; Malacalcyonacea; Plexauridae.
GUCGUUUUACGGUUUGAGCUGUUUGUCAGCCAUGCUUGCACUAAAGUAACAAAUGCAAACGCAACUGAUCAUGAUGUCAAGUGUACUUCGCAACUGGAAUUUUAUCGGAAUUUCAUUGUAUUAACCAUGAACUAUCAAAUAAAAAAAUUAACACGUUAUAAAUACCGUUGAAGUCGGUCCGUACUAAAAAUAUUUUCCCUCGGCCUCAAAAGCGUCCCUUGGCCUUC